RNAcentral lists this ribosomal RNA (274 nucleotides) under uncultured bacterium. Its description in RNAcentral is "partial 16S ribosomal RNA". It matches the Rfam family "Bacterial small subunit ribosomal RNA", at positions 523 to 796 of the family's 1533-position model. The record is from RNAcentral.
AUACGGAGGGUGCAAGCGUUGUUCGGAAUUACUGGGCGUAAAGCGCGCGUAGGUGGUCCGUUAUGUCAGAUGUGAAAGUCCACGGCUCAACCGUGGAAGUGCAUUUGAAACUGGCAGACUUGAGUACUGGAGGGGGUAGUGGAAUUCCCGGUGUAGAGGUGAAAUUCGUAGAUAUCGGGAGGAAUACCGGUGGCGAAGGCGACUACCUGGCCAGAUACUGACACUGAGGUGCGAAAGCGUGGGGAGCAAACAGGAUUAGAAACCCCAGUAGUCC